This 1653-nucleotide long non-coding RNA is filed under the name Canis lupus familiaris (dog). RNAcentral describes it as "lncRNA (ENSCAFG00000051500.1)". Lineage: Eukaryota; Metazoa; Chordata; Mammalia; Carnivora; Canidae. The record is from RNAcentral.
UUGAAGUGCACAUGGGAGAAAUAAAAACACUAGUCAUUUCCAUGCCACUUACAACAUUACAUUCCUCACAGUUGAUUAACUGAGAAGAAGGGAAUUUUAACGUCAACUUUAUUGAAGGACUGGAGAGAAGUAGAGCAAGAUGGGAAAGGAGCAACACUACUUUAAGGAACAGGCCACAUUCCAAGCAGGGCACGCCUGAUUUGGAGCUACCCUGGACAGCAUGAGGCAUUGAGUGGAAGAGAAAACUGUAGCCCAGAAAGGGAAGUCGGAGAAUCUAAAGAUGAAUGUUGCCUACUUCACAGCUGUGUCAGGGAUAGGCUCUGGAAGUGAGCAUGAGUAAUCCAUAGAUGUGUGUGCGCAUAACCCAGACCCAUUUCUUUCAUGUUUAUUUUGAAGCAAUAGCAUAUGUUUCUCCAGACCUGGCGGUAUUUCUUUUAGUUAUUUUCUAUCCAAUCCUUCUUUUAAGGGAAAAAUGAGAAGACUAUGGUGCUGAAAAACACCUAACAGAGGAUUUUCUUUCUGUGACCAUCACCUCUACCUCCAACAUAUACACAAACAUACACACACUCUCUCACACACACACAUCUCUCCCUUUAGGACUUGUCAUGAUUUUGUAGUGAUUAUAAUUUGAGUUGAUUAUGCAUAUUUAAAUAGAAGGUGCAUUUAAAAUGUAGAUUAAAUCAUUGACACUGGGAUAUCUCUGGUGAGUACUAGAUAUUUUUAAUAGUUACAUUGAUACAUUUCAAGAAUUAGGAUGGGUUUUUUUUUUAAGAUUUUAUUUAUUCAUGAGAGACGGGGUCGGGGGGCAAGAGACACAGGCAGAGGGAGAAGCAGGCUCUAUGCAGGAGCCUGACGUGGAACUUGAUCCUGGUCUCCAGGAUCAUGCCCUAGGCUGAAGGCAGCGCUAAACCAGUGAGCCACCUGGGCUGCCCGAAUUAGGAUGUUUUUAAAAUUAUUAAAGACUGACAUUCUGUGCUGUAAGCUUCUUUGGUCAAAAUCAUCUCUACUACACAGUAGAGAAAAGCAGUUUCAAAACUUGGUUCAGUUAUCUCUAAUGCACUUUUUAUUCACAAAGGAAAAGAUAUACCCAGAUCACAAAGUUUGUAUGUUAUUAAUACCUUAGUAGUCUAAUUAAUGUGGUUGCAGGAAACUUGACCAUUGCUGGAUGUUAGUCUCAGAAAAAGUACCACUGAGACCAAACCCAUCCUUUCUUAUUUCCCUGCUAAGAGUUUUCCCUCUUAUAGAACUACUUCUCUGUCACUUCUUGGUCUUUGUACUGUUUUAAGAGAAUUGACUUGUGACACUAGAGUAUACCACAUAUCACUCUAGCCAAUGCUUUUUUCUCUAAAAAAAUCACACUUAACUAUAUUUCAGAAGUUAAUGAGAGAGGCUGUCUUGUGAUAUCAUGAGGAAGCUGGGGUUUCCACUUUCGAUGAUCUUUUAGCAUCUACUCUCUCUCUCUCUCUCUUUUUUUUAAAGUUAUGUUGUCCAACUUCAGGACCUCAAAUCUUGUGACUAAUUUCCCCUGCUGUAUGACCUGUAUAGCCUGUAUGACCAGCCCCUUAACAUGCUACUUUUUAAAAAAAGGUAUACAAUAACCAAAAAAUAUGCUUUAACACAGUAGUGCCAUCUUGCUUGAUUAGCUCAUAUAGU